Molecule: ribosomal RNA, 253 nt
Filed under: uncultured bacterium
Lineage: Bacteria
Description: partial 16S ribosomal RNA
Rfam family: Bacterial small subunit ribosomal RNA
Source: RNAcentral
UACGUAGGGUGCAAGCGUUAAUCGGAAUUACUGGGCGUAAAGCGUGCGCAGGCGGUUAUGUAAGACAGAUGUGAAAUGCCCGGGCUUAACCUGGGAACUGCAUUUGUGACUGCAUGGCUAGAGUUUGGCAGAGGGGGGUAGAAUUCCACGUGUAGCAGUGAAAUGCGUAGAUAUGUGGAGGAACACCGAUGGCGAAGGCGGCAUCCUGGACCGGCAUUGACGCUGAUGAGCGAAAGCUAGGGGAGCAAACGGG